RNAcentral lists this small nuclear RNA (106 nucleotides) under Olea europaea subsp. europaea. Lineage: Eukaryota; Viridiplantae; Streptophyta; Magnoliopsida; Lamiales; Oleaceae. The record is from RNAcentral.
CUCUGAUAUCCUUGUGGACAUCCGAUAAAAUUGAAAUGAUACAAAGAAAAUCAGCAUGGCCAUGAGCAAGGAUGCGAAGGGAAAAAGAAAAAAGAAAGAAGGUUAG